This 98-nucleotide small nuclear RNA is filed under the name Salmo salar (Atlantic salmon). RNAcentral describes it as "U2 spliceosomal RNA". It matches the Rfam family "U2 spliceosomal RNA", at positions 95 to 192 of the family's 192-position model. Rfam says of the family: U2 is a small nuclear RNA (snRNA) component of the spliceosome (involved in pre-mRNA splicing). Lineage: Eukaryota; Metazoa; Chordata; Actinopteri; Salmoniformes; Salmonidae. The record is from Rfam by way of RNAcentral.
AAUGGAUUUUUUGAACAGGGAGUUAGAAAAGGGGCUUGUUCCGUCCGCUUCACGCAUCGACCCGGUAUUGCAGUACCUCCGGGAACGGGGCAACACUU